Molecule: microRNA, 22 nt
Filed under: Alligator mississippiensis (American alligator)
Lineage: Eukaryota; Metazoa; Chordata; Crocodylia; Alligatoridae
Description: ami-miR-9602-3p
Source: miRBase by way of RNAcentral
UGCUGAGGGUCAGGCUGGACUG